Molecule: ribosomal RNA, 499 nt
Filed under: uncultured bacterium
Lineage: Bacteria
Description: bacterial SSU rRNA
Rfam family: Bacterial small subunit ribosomal RNA
Source: RNAcentral
GAUGAACGCUAGCGGCAGGCUUAACACAUGCAAGUCGUGGGGCAGCGCGAGGUAGCAAUACUUUGGCGGCGACCGGCAAAACGGGUGCGGAACACGUACGCAACCUUCCUCAGAGCGGGGAAUAGCCUCUCGAAAGAGAGAUUAAUACCCCAUAGUAUCUCGAAACUGCAUGGUUUGAGAUUAAAGCUUCGGCACUUUGAGAUGGGCGUGCGGCUGAUUAGGUAGUUGGUAGGUAACGGCCUACCAAGCCAACGAUCAGUAGCUGAUGUGAGAGCAUGAUCAGCCACACGGGCACUGAGACACGGGCCCGAUCCUACGGGAGGCAGCAGUGAGGAAUAUUGGUCAAAUGGAGGAAACUCUGAACCAGCCAAUGCCGCGUGAAGGAUGAAGGUCCUCUGGAAUUGUAAACUUCUUUUAUAGAAGAAGAAACCCCAUUAUCUUUAAAUGGGUUGACGGUACUCUAUGAAUAAGCACCGGCUAAACUCCGUGCCAGCAGCCG